ACCGGCGCACGGGUGAGUAACACGUAUGCAACCUGCCCGUUGCAGGGGAAUAAGCGGAAGAAAUUCCGUCUAAUACCGCAUAAUAUCCUUUGGAGACAUCUCCUGGGGAUUAAAGAUUUAUCGGCAACGGAUGGGCAUGCGGCGCAUUAGCUUGUUGGCGGGGUAACGGCCCACCAAGGCGACGAUGCGUAGGGGUUCUGAGAGGAAGGUCCCCCACACUGGUACUGAGACACGGACCAGACUCCUACGGGAGGCAGCAGUGAGGAAUAUUGGUCAAUGGGCGAGAGCCUGAACCAGCCAAGUCGCGUGAGGGAAGACGGUCCUAUGGAUUGUAAACCUCUUUUGUCGGGGAGCAAUGGAUUCCACGUGUGGGAUCCGGGAGAGUACCCGAAGAAAAAGCAUCGGCUAACUCCGUGCCAGCAGCCGCGGUAAUACGGAGGAUGCGAGCGUUAUCCGGAUUUAUUGGGUUUAAAGGGUGCGUAGGCGGAAGAUUAAGUCAGCGGUAAAAUCGAGGGGCUCAACCCCUUCCCGCCGUUGAAACUGGUUUUCUUGAGUGGAAGAGAAGUAUGCGGAAUGCGUGGUGUAGCGGUGAAAUGCAUAGAUAUCACGCAGAACCCCGAUUGCGAAGGCAGCAUACCGGCUUCCAACUGACGCUGAAGCACGAAAGCGUGGGGAUCGAACAGGAUUAGAUACCCUGGUAGUCCACGCGGUAAACGAUGAACACUAGGUGUCCGGAGCGAUUGGGCUCUGGGUGCCACAGCGAAAGCGUUAAGUGUUCCACCUGGGGAGUACGCCGGCAACGGUGAAACUCAAAGGAAUUGACGGGGGCCCGCACAAGCGGAGGAACAUGUGGUUUAAUUCGAUGAUACGCGAGGAACCUUACCCGGGCUCAAACGCAGUAUGACGGAUUUCCGAAAGGAGAUCUUUCUUCGGACAUACUGCGAGGUGCUGCAUGGUUGUCGUCAGCUCGUGCCGUGAGGUGUCGGCUUAAGUGCCAUAACGAGCGCAACCCCCAUCGCCAGUUGCCAACAGGUAAAGCUGGGAACUCUGGCGAGACUGCCGGCGCAAGCUGUGAGGAAGGCGGGGAUGACGUCAAAUCAGCACGGCCCUUACGUCCGGGGCGACACACGUGUUACAAUGGCAGGUACAGCGGGAAGCCACCGGGCGACCGGGAGCAGAACCCGAAAACCUGUCUCAGUUCGGAUUGGAGUCUGCAACUCGACUCCAUGAAGCUGGAUUCGCUAGUAAUCGCGCAUCAGCCACGGCGCGGUGAAUACGUUCCCGGGCCUUGCACACACCGCCCGUCAAG
RNAcentral lists this ribosomal RNA (1309 nucleotides) under uncultured bacterium. RNAcentral's name for it is "bacterial SSU rRNA". It matches the Rfam family "Bacterial small subunit ribosomal RNA", at positions 94 to 1401 of the family's 1533-position model. The record is from RNAcentral.